CAUUGGAAGUCCACCAGCCUCACUCCUGACUAUGAACUGGAGUGGAGACCUUAUUCCCACAUAUAUUAAUUUACUAAUAUCAUUUGAUUCCAUAAUCAGCCCAGUUAACUUAUAGUUUGGACCUAAGGAUAUAAGUAGAUUUUACAAGAAGAAAUUUAACUCAAAAAUUACAAUAUUAUUUGAGAUUGUUUUUGAUAUCAUGCUAAAAGACAGCACAUGUUAAAAAUUUGAAAACCGAGUCAGCUUGUGGGUUGCUUCCUCCCUGUCAAAAAGGUGGCUUGAUAAUUAGCUUUGCCAUUACAAGGCAAGGAGAGAAGACAGUCAUGUCCAUCCCUGUCACUGGACCCCUGUGGUCAGCUGGUGUUGGCAGUUGAAAGGGUGCUCCUGGAAGACUCCGACCUAGAUGAAAAAGUGGCCUGGCUGUUGGGCCAGAAGCCCUCUCUGUCGUUGAGGUUCACUCCCAGUGGCCGGAAAUGCCACCGAGAGAUGCGCGCUGCGUGGGGGUUCUGAACGAUCGGCUUCAGCACCCGGCCCAGGUGGACAGCGACGAGCGCAGCAGCCCGCCUCACCCUCCCUGCGCGGCCACUGCGCGCGCCUCGCCUCUGACCCCUGCCAGCAGCGUGCCCAGCGCCACGUCCAGCGCCAGCACCUCGGCGCUGUCUGGCCACGCGAUCGCCUUGUACAUCUCCCUGUGCCUCCUUGCCCAGGCCUGCCAGGAGCUGUGUGCGCGUGUCCAGAGCUGCAGCUGCUCCCCAAGGCAGGGCUCCCUAUGUGGCCCCCUCUGUUGCCUCUCUCAGGGCUUCUAGGCACGUCCGUGGGGAGGCAGCAAGAACAUGUAAAAACUUCCCCAAGCUGGUGCUGAUAAGUAUACCCCUUCACGUCAUAAAGGGCUCUAGUCCCCGUUGAAGUCUGUCUUGCUUCUGGAGAUUUUCUAAAACCCUGUUUUGUUUUAAAAUGCAUUCAUCCUGUUUUGUAAUUAUAUGUAUUUCUGGUAACUUUUUAUUUCAUGCUGGUCUUCACUCCAAGUUUUUAGCACAGCUUGAAUUUGUGU
This is a long non-coding RNA of Bos taurus (domestic cattle), 1051 nucleotides long. The record is from Ensembl. NCBI's taxonomy places the organism in Eukaryota, Metazoa, Chordata, Mammalia, Artiodactyla, Bovidae.